This 1742-nucleotide long non-coding RNA is filed under the name Pan troglodytes (chimpanzee). RNAcentral's name for it is "lincRNA". The record is from RNAcentral. Lineage: Eukaryota; Metazoa; Chordata; Mammalia; Primates; Hominidae.
CUGACCUCGUGAUCCGCCCGCCUCGGCCUCCCAAAGUGCUGGGGUUACAGGCGUGAGCCACCGCGCCCGGCCAAGAAUGACUUUGUAAAUCAGUGUUGACAUUCAGGACCUUUUUCAUUUCGUGUUAAAGACUGAUCACCCUGGGAAAAUCAAGGCAGUCCAGCCAAACCCCAACUCCCAAUCAAAUGCAGUUUGUAUCGAACCCCACGACUGCCCAGCACCUUUGGGAAGCCCAUUGCUUUCUGUGCAGACGCAGAGCUCCCAGAAAGCACAGUUGAAGAGAUGAAGGCACAGAGGCAUGAACUCCCGUAGCCAGAGAGUGUGAGCUGGACUCUACCUGGAGCAGCCUCGGUGCAGAGCCCAUGCCCCCAACCAUGUCCGUGGUCGAGGCCCAGCCCAGACAGGGCACCAAGGGGCUGAGGAAGAGGAAGUAAGAUGCCAGGGUUGCCAUGCAGGAGGGCAACCCCGAGUGAGAUGGGCAUCGUGGCCUAGGGCCCACCUUCCGGAAGAGCUCAUCAGAACUUCGGACACACUGCAUGGGCCUAGACCCAGGGCUUGUUGAGCUCCUCCCUCGGAUUGGCUUCGAAUUUUAGGUGAAUCCUCUCUAGCGGCCAUAUUCACCCUUGCAAGCCUGCACUUUGUCAUCUUCUGAAAAGGUGCAGGAACAUGAUGCCCAGCUGACUCCCAGGGAGCGGGAGCCCCAGAGGCCAGCGGAGCACAGCCGCAGCAGGCAGAUCUGUUGGGAAACCACAGGAGUAUAGGAGCAGGGCUGGGGGCACCUGAGGGCCUGUGGAGCCUGAAUUAUUGAAACGCUUAGAGUAAAGCAGAUUUAGAUUUCACAAAGACAGAGGUGAAGGUGGGUGAAGACGGAGGAAAGAUAAGAAUGAGGGAGAAAGGGGAAGAGAGAAAGAAAAAGAGAAGUAGAGUUAUCGAAGAUGACUGCAAGUCUGGCCUCUCUCAACCCAAGGAGCCAAGGAGGGGAAGGCCGGCCUGAGCAGCAAGGUAGACAAGAGCUCAGGAGCUCAGGCGGGCAGGGACAGAGCCCUGGCUUCAGCAAGAGCGUGGGGAACAGAGGGCAAGGGGGUCCAUGCAGCCCAGGAUGGCAGGGUGCUCAUACACACAGCCUUGGUCCUGUCCCCUCUCCCAUUGCCGCUUUUGAGCUCACCUUGUUUUAAGGCCAAAGCACACAUCAUCCUCCCACAGAGCCACUAAUGCAAUUAACAAAACACAUUCAUAAAUCUUGCAUGGUGUCCGGAGCUGUCUCCUCUCCCUAAGCACAAAGGCCAGCUCCGGAGAUGCUGUGCAGAGAGCUGUCUGACCUCUCCAGCGUCAGGGCCCCCUGAAAAGCGCAGCAUAACCCUUAGUAGGACAAAAAGACCAUUCUCUUCUGCCAACCAUUACAAAGUGGAGUGGGGCUGGGGUUAGGAAACACAGACAAAUCAGAAGAGGCUGAGAAGGCGGAGAUGAAAGUGCAUAGGUGUUUGCAGGGAGCUGGGGAAUAGUUCGUGCCUUCCAAGCUCAACAAGAGAGCAUUCAGCAGAGACCAGAGAAUCACCACUUUUGGAGGGUGAUUUUACCUUGUGAGAACAGAGCACAGGGUGUGUGGGACCCAGGGCAUCUUCGGCAAUGCAGGCGUGACCUGGCGGGAUGUCGGUGUUUGUGUUUGCAUGUGUGUGUGCGUGCGUGCAUGCUCAGUCUGGAAAACUGGUGACUCACUAAAACACCGAGCUUUCUGAUCUGAA